RNAcentral lists this long non-coding RNA (2405 nucleotides) under Neodiprion lecontei (redheaded pine sawfly). RNAcentral describes it as "uncharacterized LOC107225739". The record is from RNAcentral. Lineage: Eukaryota; Metazoa; Arthropoda; Insecta; Hymenoptera; Diprionidae.
CGACAAACAUAGUACUAACGACAACAGCGUUUGUGGUUCAAGAUUUCCGAUGUUAUCAGUGCGAAAUUAUCUAACAAGUUAGAAUCGGAUUUCGCAAACACUUGACGCUCGCCAAUACGUAAACUCCUUUUGAAAUCACUGUUGUGCGUUUCUAUUCAAUGAGUAUUUUGUUCAAUGAAACCAAUACAAAAAGAGGGCGUCCCUAGGGAGGACUAUGGGGCUGGUUACAGAUGCUUAUCGUCAGGCCAUCCUAUUCACGACUUGUUGGUUCAUACAGAUUUACACCAUUACACCGUAGGUCAUGCACCCAGAUGAUCGUGAAAGCAUCUUUUAUUUACGAAAUUAUCGUAGCGAACUCAAUAUUGCAUGAAAAAAUUCUCCCUCACUUUCUGUUCGUGUGUUUAUUUAAUAUAGGAAGAAAAAGGGUGAGUUUGCUCAGUCGGUAAAGAUAGGAGAGCUAAAUGCUCUCAGGCUAGCUGGAUGCUCCACGACAAUUCACCAUGCUUUCGUGGACACCGGUGUUUCUACCAAUAUUUUUGUUUAUCGUCAUGAUUAACAUACAACGUAAUUGAUAUAUCGUCAGCAUAGAAUUAACUAAUUGUAAAUUUUUUAGAAAAAAAAUGGUACUCACAAAACAAGAGUCUAACAAUAUGAAGUAAAUCGUAGUAGUAUAUAGUUCAUUUAAGCAGCCGGCUGGAGGCACGCAGCUGUUGAUUAGUUGUUUUCGAUUAACCUCACAAUACAUUUGGGUCCAGGAGGUCCAGGAGCAGGCACCGCGUCGGCUACUGAUCUUUGUCAGGCGAGGUGCUGAAAUUGUGCACAACGAUGUUGACACCCUCAAAUAAACCCUGAGAAUGUUGAGUUACACAAGAUAAUUUUGUUCCGAACACAAGAAAAAUGCUUGAUCAAAACAUGGAAAAAAACAAACAGAUGUCACGAAUCCACGUAUCACAUAGCAGAAGGACUGGAGUUAACUUCAAAGAAUUUAAUCUUGAUAAUGCAUAGCAAAUUUUGCAAAUUUGUCAAAGAAAUAAGGAAGAAACGUUUUUGAAGAAGAGAUAAAGCAUCCGAGAGGAUAUUGGUAUUUAAAAAAUAAUACUGUUAGAGGAGGUGUCUGAGUCAAAAAUCAAUACUUUUCAUUAAUUAUAUUCUGAUAUUGUGACACAUUGAGAUAUUUUCAAUUCAAUAUAUUUAUAAGUUACAAUUUUCGAUCUCAAAAGUAAAGAAAGUGGUUUAUACUGGAAUUAUAAACCAUAGCGUAUAGCAAUAUCACCUUUUAUUUAUCACACUGGCUUCCAUAAAUAUUUAAUUUUACAACCUUGCAUGAUUGAUUAUGAUCAAAAAUAAUACAAUUGAAUUGGCUAAUUGGGUAACAUAAAAUCUGCUUUAGUAAACUGAUAAAUUGUUUAGAUUCCUUAAGCUUUUGUAUAUAAUUUCAGAAGUUGCGGAUUUUGUCGCAAGAGGCAGAGUUUGAGACAGUGUGUAUUCGUGGCUUGUUUAAGAGUGUAAUUCAUUACACUCCUGUAUUAAGUCAUUUAGACCGGACCUAGUCGACCAUUAGAAUGAUAUGCAGAAGUCAUAUAUAUUUUUAUACGAGAAAAAUUGUUAGAGAAUACAAAUUCGAAAAUUUCAGGUGACUUGAAAAAUUAACAACGGAGCUAGGAAUGGAACCUGGUGUCUAGAGAUGCUUUGCCGGAGCCUUACUCCACUAGAUCACCUAGCCGCCUGACUACAAUGUUAAUUUCUCUCAUCAUCUGUAUUCGAAAUUCGAAAUAGCGCGGCAAAGCAUCUCCAGACACCAAGUUCCAUUCCUGGCUCAGUCGUUAAUUUUUCAAGUCACCUGAAAUUUUUGAAUUUGUAUUCUCUAUAUAAUUUCAGUGUCAUCUAUUCAUGCAUUGUAUUGUGAUAAAAUAUGAUCACAAUAUGAGAUUUGUCACUGAAGAUAUUGUAACUUAAUUUAUGAAUUCUAAUAUUGAAACUCUGUAGAGUAAGAAGUGAUACAUUGCAUUAGAAUAUUUGACCCCGUCCUUUCAUAACUUAUGCAAUAUUUCGUAUCAUCAUUUUCGCCGAGUUUAGUGAAGAAGUGGAACGUGAUUCAUCGCGUGGUAAAUGCAAGUAAUACGAAGUCUUCAUUUGAUACAGACUGUUUAAAUACAACCAUUAUAGAAAUAUAAGCUUAUAAUAAACUUAUCUGUAUAACAUACAAAAAAUCGGUUUUGAUCAGAAAAUGAAAAAUAAAAACACGUCGUUUCACGUAUUUAGUGCAUUUAGUUGUAAUUUUAGCAACCUGAGUUUUAUCUUUUACUUGGAGCUUCAUUAUCAUCUUUCUUUAAAUUACCUGCCUAAUAAAUAACGAUUUUUUGCAACAUAUAGACAAUAUGCUAUCAAAUUCAAAGAUGGAUAAA